CAGUAGCCGCGGUAAUACGUAGGGUGCAAGCGUUAAUCGGAAUUACUGGGCGUAAAGCGUGCGCAGGCGGUUUGUUAAGACAGAUGUGAAAUCCCCGGGCUCAACCUGGGAGCUGCAUUUGUGACUGGCAAGCUAGAGUGUGGCAGAGGGGGGUGGAAUUCCGCGUGUAGCAGUGAAAUGCGUAGAUAUGCGGAGGGACACCGAUGGCGAAGGCAGCCCCCUGGGCCAACACUGACGCUCAUGCACGAAAGCGUGGGGAGCAAACAGGAUUAGAUACCCCCGUAGUCCCUGUCUCUUAUAA
This 301-nucleotide ribosomal RNA is filed under the name uncultured bacterium. RNAcentral's name for it is "partial 16S ribosomal RNA". It matches the Rfam family "Bacterial small subunit ribosomal RNA", at positions 509 to 809 of the family's 1533-position model. The record is from RNAcentral.